GACGAACGCUGGCGGCGUGCUUAACACAUGCCAGUCGUACGGUAAGGCCCUUUCGGGGGUACACGAGUGGCGAACGGGUGAGUAACACGUGAGUAACCUGCCCACAACUUUGGGAUAACGCUAGGAAACUGGUGCUAAUACUGGAUAUGUGCUCCUGCUGCAUGGUGGGGGUUGGAAAGCUCCGGCGGUUGUGGAUGGACUCGCGGCCUAUCAGCUUGUUGGUGGGGUAGUGGCCUACCAAGGCGGCGACGGGUAGCCGGCCUGAGAGGGUGACCGGCCACAUUGGGACUGAGAUACGGCCCAGACUCCUACGGGAGGCAGCAGUGGGGAAUAUUGCACAAUGGGCGCAAGCCUGAUGCAGCAACGCCGCGUGCGGGAUGACGGCCUUCGGGUUGUAAACCGCGUUCAGCAGGGACGAAGCUUUUUGUGACGGUACCUGCAGAAGAAGCACCGGCUAACUACGUG
This 465-nucleotide ribosomal RNA is filed under the name uncultured bacterium. Its description in RNAcentral is "partial 16S ribosomal RNA". It matches the Rfam family "Bacterial small subunit ribosomal RNA", at positions 28 to 507 of the family's 1533-position model. The record is from RNAcentral.